AUGAUCAGGUAGAUAGGUCAGAGGUGGAAGUGUGGCGACACAUGGAGCUGACUGAUACUAAUCGAUCGAGGACUUAACCAAA
This 82-nucleotide ribosomal RNA is filed under the name Rossellomorea marisflavi. RNAcentral describes it as "Bacillus marisflavi partial 23S ribosomal RNA". It matches the Rfam family "Bacterial large subunit ribosomal RNA", at positions 2844 to 2925 of the family's 2925-position model. Lineage: Bacteria; Bacillati; Bacillota; Bacilli; Caryophanales; Bacillaceae. The record is from RNAcentral.